GGUUGUGGCUUAGUGGCAGAGUGCUUGUCUCACACAUGUGAGGCACUGGGUUCAAUCCUUAGCACCA
Molecule: transfer RNA, 67 nt
Filed under: Marmota monax (woodchuck)
Lineage: Eukaryota; Metazoa; Chordata; Mammalia; Rodentia; Sciuridae
Description: tRNA.Val
Source: RNAcentral